RNAcentral lists this unclassified non-coding RNA (212 nucleotides) under uncultured Agaricomycetes. RNAcentral's name for it is "sequence contains ITS2". The record is from RNAcentral. Lineage: Eukaryota; Fungi; Basidiomycota; Agaricomycetes.
AAUUCUCAACUCUCCUCAGCUUGUCUGCUGUUGCUGGAGCUUGGAUCUUGGAGGUUGCUGGUUGUUGUUCAAUCAGCUCCUCUCAAAUGCAUUAGCUGAACCGUUUGCAAUUCGUGCUCCGGUGUGAUAGUUAUCUACACCACAGUGGAGUUGCUCUCUGUUUUUGUUCUGCUUCUAAUCGUCCGCACAAGGACAACACUUGAUUACUGAAC